ACGGAGGGGACUAGCGUUGUUCGGAAUUACUGGGCGUAAAGCGCACGUAGGCGGUUUGUCGCGUCGUCUGUGAAAUUCUGCAACUCAAUUGUAGGCGUGCAGGCGAUACGGGCAGACUUGAGUACUACAGGGGAGACUGGAAUUCCUGGUGUAGCGGUGAAAUGCGCAGAUAUCAGGAGGAACACCGGUGGCGAAGGCGGGUCCCUGGACAACACCUGACACUGAGGCACGAAAGCCGGGGGAGCAAACAGGA
RNAcentral lists this ribosomal RNA (253 nucleotides) under uncultured prokaryote. RNAcentral describes it as "partial 16S ribosomal RNA". It matches the Rfam family "Bacterial small subunit ribosomal RNA", at positions 525 to 777 of the family's 1533-position model. The record is from RNAcentral.